RNAcentral lists this long non-coding RNA (408 nucleotides) under Olea europaea subsp. europaea. Lineage: Eukaryota; Viridiplantae; Streptophyta; Magnoliopsida; Lamiales; Oleaceae. The record is from RNAcentral.
AAAAAAAAAAAAGGCGAACCGAGCCGGCUCAUGCAUAGACGAGCCGAGUUUGGAGGCAGGCGAGUCGGGUGGCUUGAUUUAUUUGAUUUAACACCCGUAAAUGGAAGGAGAGGUUCCAAUGAGCAAGUUUGAUCAAAUGAAUGAUUCUUCACGAAAAAGAACACAAUACUAUAUUCGAAGACUUGAAACUUUGAUAUGUUUUGGACACUGAUAUCCGUGAAAUUAUGGCUAUUCAAUCCACACAGAAAAGGAUUCUGUAUGAGCAAAUCGAACCUUGAAGUUUAUUCAAAUUUGGCAUUCAUAUUCCUUUUGGUCUUGGUCUUGGUCUUAUUUCUCUUUAGUCUCCUUCUGCCUUUGAGUCACCAAUUGGACAAACCAUCAUUAUUAUUUAUCGAAAGUCUCAACAAG